This 76-nucleotide transfer RNA is filed under the name Nocardioides aquiterrae. RNAcentral's name for it is "tRNA-Glu". It matches the Rfam family "tRNA". Rfam says of the family: Transfer RNA (tRNA) molecules are approximately 80 nucleotides in length. Their secondary structure includes four short double-helical elements and three loops (D, anti-codon, and T loops). The record is from RNAcentral. Lineage: Bacteria; Bacillati; Actinomycetota; Actinomycetes; Propionibacteriales; Nocardioidaceae. RNAcentral also lists the same sequence under 12 other names.
GCCCCGUUCGUCUAGCGGCCCAGGACGCUGGCCUCUCACGCCGGAAGCACGGGUUCGAAUCCCGUACGGGGUACCA